UAGAACCCGAAACGCAAAAUCAACCCAACAAAACCCUUGCCGCCCCCCAAAACCCCCACUGCAGCUUAAAAUGAAAUUUUGAAAAAGAAAAUUUGCCCUCCCUUUUGGCCGCGCCCUCCCUGUUGGCCGUCAUCGCCUCCCCCCUCACGUUCGUGCCCUCCCUGUUGGCCCUCGCCGCCUUCCCCCUCAUGCUCGCACCCUCCCUGUUGGCCGUCGCCGCCUCCUAAAUCAAAAAAACUUGUUCCCAUUCCCCAAAUUUUUAACACCGUCGUCGCCCCCUCUCCGACAUCGCCGACAAAAUCGCCAUCCCUCUCUCUCAUUCCCGUUUCCUCUAAAUCAAGUCGUCCUCCUACCCUAAUUUCAGCUACUCCCGCUCGCCGAAAUCAAGUCCUCCUCCUGCCCUAAUUUCAGCUACUCCCGCUCGUUGAAAUCAAGUGCUCCUCCGGCCCAUUCCGUCGUCUAUUCACGUUGCCGCUGACACUUUUCUCCGUCGGAUCCAAACUCAUCAUCAGAUCGAUACUCGAAGACGCGACAAGAAGAAGCUCCUGUGGCAGCGACGACAGGCGGCGUACGAACGCCGUGGCCUCAGCUGGAUCCUGGCGAAUGCUGAGCCGUCGUCGAGCAUCGUUCUUGAUUUCGACGAGGUGUUCAAUGAUUGGGAACCGCUUCAUCAUGUGCUAUACAAAUCAGGGUUUCACACUUGGGAGUAUAGGUGUGCUUUUACUUUUUUUUCCCAUUUUAUUUUUAGGGUUUUGUGCUUCAUUUUCUUAGUUUCUGUUUGAUUUGUUCUGGGGCAUAUAUAACUAACAGUAGCAGUUUGAAUGCUCGUUUAUGGGAUGACUGUUAGGGCUAUAUAGUCCCACAUUGACCAUACAGACUAUGAGUUGUUUGAAUGUUUAGAGGUUCUCUUCUUACAACUAGCUUUUAGGCAUGAGUUCUCCGAGGCUGGCAAAAUGGUAUCGGAGCAACCUGUGAACAUGAUUCUUUUCCUCCCGUGGCCGCGCUCCACACUUGAUUGAUAUUGUUUAUACUUAUAGUGGGGUUAAUUGGUGGGGUUCGAUUGUGUUGACGACGAUUGUGUGGUAGGAGGGGGACGGGGUUGGGCGAGGUUGAGGAAGGAGGAGGAGGAAGAGGAGGGGAAUUUUGAGCUUCAAUCUGCUUUAUCAAUCUCAGAUUAUGCGAAGGAGGAGGGCUACUAGAUCGAAUUUUAGCCAAGAAAGAUAGUCGUUAUACUGAAAAUGAUGCUGCGAUAGUUGUCCGCCAAAUGUUUAAAGUGGCAGCUGAGUGUCACUUGCAUGGUUUGGUGCAUCGAGACAUGAAGCCAGAGAUUAUUGACGGGGUCCAUAUUGGCACACGAGAUGAUGCAUGCUUGGCUGUGGCUUAAAGGUUAUCCAUGCAAGAUUAGGAGAGGUGGGGUAGCUCGAGUC
Long non-coding RNA from Asparagus officinalis (garden asparagus), 1427 nucleotides. RefSeq lists it as uncharacterized. The record is from RefSeq and is a predicted model, not a curated record. Lineage: Eukaryota; Viridiplantae; Streptophyta; Magnoliopsida; Asparagales; Asparagaceae. The transcript has 6 exons.